This 271-nucleotide unclassified non-coding RNA is filed under the name Hevea brasiliensis (rubber tree). The record is from RNAcentral. Lineage: Eukaryota; Viridiplantae; Streptophyta; Magnoliopsida; Malpighiales; Euphorbiaceae.
GUACAUUUUGGAUUAUACAGCUGUGGUUACUGUCUUACUAUCCUAAGCUGGCAAAUACUCUACCAACCCCUAUUGAUAAUUUCUUUGGUAGGAGAGUUGCUUCUUUGGCCUGCACUUGGGAUGAGGGCUAGGUACUGAAGUUCCUAGUUCAGUUACUUGCUCGGGUCUUUUCUGGCUUCACUUCUUUUGAUGACACUAAAACCCUUGAGUCUGCUAGCCUUCCCACCUGGCUUAUCUGUUCCAUAGUCACUUUUACAAAUGAAGUUGUUAG